AAAUUUGUGUCGCCAAAAUGCAACCAGAAGAUUAAAUCUUCCAUCAACACCAAAAAUGAAGCAAAACCAUUGUCCAUUGUCAAAUUGCAUCAACCAUUCAAUCAUGAAAAUUGAUAUGAUGUCAUCAUAAAUCAUAAUUGAAUCGACUUAAGGCUACCGGUGAUAUUCCUCUUAAAAUUCAGGUCUGAUGAAAAAUCUUGGCUUGCCUUAAUUUCUAGACGUGAAUUUAUCAAGACACAUCUUACUAUAUUGGUUGAUAGAAAAGAUUAUGCACACCACAUCCUUAUGCUAGCCCAACACAGGUGCGUAUUUGGUAAUGGAUAUUAAUAUUGUUUUA
Molecule: long non-coding RNA, 337 nt
Filed under: Solanum tuberosum (potato)
Lineage: Eukaryota; Viridiplantae; Streptophyta; Magnoliopsida; Solanales; Solanaceae
Description: long non-coding RNA (STUB_LNC009968)
Source: RNAcentral